Rhineura floridana is the source of this 433-nucleotide long non-coding RNA. RefSeq lists it as uncharacterized. NCBI's taxonomy places the organism in Eukaryota, Metazoa, Chordata, Lepidosauria, Squamata, Rhineuridae. The transcript is spliced from 3 exons. The record is from RefSeq and is a predicted model, not a curated record.
ACAUCAGUCGAUGACAUGCGCAGAACUACAAAUUAACGAGGGACCUGGGUUGGCAGAGGAAGGAGCUUACCUAGCAAGCGGGGCUGGCCCAAGGUACUUCCUGAGGGGAAGGACAAGAUGAUGCCCACCCUUACCCCCACAUACUCCUUGCUGUCUACAAAAACCAGAUGGACUUGCAGCUUGCAACUGAAUUGUACUUCAGCACCGGCUAUGGAACAGCGCCCUCCACCACGUCUGAAGGCAGCUUAGGGAGUGCCAGGCAUGUUGUGCGGCACACAGCGCUCAGUCCUCCAACAGAGACGAACAAUCAGGGGGACUCAACCAGUGGAAAGAAAGAAGACAGUGUCGAUCAGUAAAGCAAGCAACUUUCCAACCUUGUCUGAAGAACCUCACCCCUUGCUGCCUCCUGCUACAGAUGACGUCAGUCGUAACC